UGAGAAAAUUAGAGUGUUCAAAGCAGGCAUUUGCUUGAAUAUAUUAGCAUGGAAUAAUCAUGUAUGAUUUUCAUGAUGUAUUUGAUUGGUUUGGUUCAUGAGAAUAAGAUUAAUAGGGACAGUUGUGGGUAUUCAUAUUCAAUAGUCAGAGGUGAAAUUCUCGGAUUUAUGGAAGAUGAACAAGUGCGAAAGCAUUUACCAAGGAUGUUUUCAUUAAUCAAGAACGAAAGUUAGGGGAUCGAAGAGGAUUAGAUACCCUCGUAGUCUUAA
Molecule: ribosomal RNA, 270 nt
Filed under: Blastocystis hominis
Lineage: Eukaryota; Bigyra; Opalinata; Blastocystidae
Description: partial small subunit ribosomal RNA
Rfam family: Eukaryotic small subunit ribosomal RNA
Source: RNAcentral